UACGUAGGUGGCAAGCGUUGUCCGGAUUUACUGGGCGUAAAGAGCGCGCAGGCGGUCGUUCAAGUCGAGUGUGAAAGCCCCCGGCUCAACUGGGGAGGGUCACUCGAUACUGAUCGACUCGAAGGCAGAAGAGGGAAGCGGAAUUCCCGGUGUAGUGGUGAAAUGCGUAGAUAUCGGGAGGAACACCAGUGGCGAAGGCGGCUUUCUGGACGACAACUGACGCUGAGACGCGAAAGCGUGGGGAGCAAACAGG
Molecule: ribosomal RNA, 253 nt
Filed under: uncultured bacterium
Lineage: Bacteria
Description: partial 16S ribosomal RNA
Rfam family: Bacterial small subunit ribosomal RNA
Source: RNAcentral